GACGAACGCUGGCGGCGUGCUUAACACAUGCAAGUCGAACGGAAAGGCCCUGCUUUUGUGGGGUGCUCGAGUGGCGAACGGGUGAGUAACACGUGAGUAACCUGCCCUUGACUUUGGGAUAACUUCAGGAAACUGGGGCUAAUACCGGAUAGGAGCUCCUGCUGCAUGGUGGGGGUUGGAAAGUUUCGGCGGUUGGGGAUGGACUCGCGGCUUAUCAGCUUGUUGGUGGGGUAGUGGCUUACCAAGGCUUUGACGGGUAGCCGGCCUGAGAGGGUGACCGGCCACAUUGGGCCUGAGAUACGGCCCAGACUCCUACGGGAGGCAGCAGUGGGGAAUAUUGCACAGUGGGCGGAAGCCUGAUGCAGCAACGCCGCGUGCGGGAUGACGGCCUUCGGGUUGUAAACCGCUUUCGCCUGUGACGAAGCGUGAGUGACGGUAAUGGGUAAAGAAGCACCGGCUAACUACGUG
RNAcentral lists this ribosomal RNA (468 nucleotides) under uncultured bacterium. RNAcentral describes it as "partial 16S ribosomal RNA". It matches the Rfam family "Bacterial small subunit ribosomal RNA", at positions 28 to 507 of the family's 1533-position model. The record is from RNAcentral.